This 621-nucleotide ribosomal RNA is filed under the name uncultured bacterium. RNAcentral's name for it is "bacterial SSU rRNA". It matches the Rfam family "Bacterial small subunit ribosomal RNA", at positions 202 to 842 of the family's 1533-position model. The record is from RNAcentral.
AAAAACUCCGGUGGUAUGAGAUGGACCCGCGUCUGAUUAGCUGGUUGGUGAGGUAACGGCCCACCAAGGCGACGAUCAGUAGCCGACCUGAGAGGGUGGCCGGCCACAUUGGGACUGAGACACGGCCCAAACUCCUACGGGAGGCAGCAGUGGGGAAUAUUGCACAAUGGGGGAAACCCUGAUGCAGCAACGCCGCGUGAGUGAAGAAGUAUUUCGGUAUGUAAAGCUCUAUCAGCAGGGAGGAAGAAAGACGGUACCUGACUAAGAAGCCCCGGCUAACUACGUGCCAGCAGCCGCGGUAAUACGUAGGGGGCAAGCGUUAUCCGGAUUUACUGGGUGUAAAGGGAGCGUAGACGGCAUAGCAAGUCUGAAGUGAAAGCCCGUGGCUCAACCGCGGAACUGCUUUGGAAACUGUUAAGCUGGAGUACUGGAGAGGCAAGCGGAAUUCCUAGUGUAGCGGUGAAAUGCGUAGAUAUUAGGAGGAACACCAGUGGCGAAGGCGGCUUGCUGGACAGAGACUGACGUUGAGGCUCGAAAGCGUGGGGAGCAAACAGGAUUAGAUACCCUGGUAGUCCACGCGGUAAACGAUGAAUGCUAGGUGUUGGCGGGCAAAGCCCGUCG